UGCGUAGGCGGCUUGGCAGGUUGGGUGUGAAAGCCCUCGGCUCAACCGAGGAAUUGCGCCCAAAACCGCUAGGCUUGAGGGAGAUAGAGGUGAGCGGAACUAAUGGUGGAGCGGUGAAAUGCGUUGAUAUCAUUAGGAACACCGGUGGCGAAAGCGGCUCACUGGGUCUCUUCUGACGCUGAGGCACGAAAGCUAGGGGAGCGAACAGGAUUAGAUACCCUGGUAGUCC
This 229-nucleotide ribosomal RNA is filed under the name uncultured bacterium. RNAcentral describes it as "partial 16S ribosomal RNA". It matches the Rfam family "Bacterial small subunit ribosomal RNA", at positions 568 to 796 of the family's 1533-position model. The record is from RNAcentral.